Molecule: ribosomal RNA, 465 nt
Filed under: uncultured bacterium
Lineage: Bacteria
Description: partial 16S ribosomal RNA
Rfam family: Bacterial small subunit ribosomal RNA
Source: RNAcentral
GACGAACGCUGGCGGCGUGCUUAACACAUGCAAGUCGAACGGAAAGGCCCUGCUUGCAGGGUACUCGAGUUGCGAACGGGUGAGUAACACGUGGGUGAUCUGCCCUCCACUUCGGGAUAGGCCUGGGCGACUGGGUCUAAUACCUGAUAGGAGCCAUUUUUAAUGGGAUGGUUGGAAAGUUUUUUCGGGGUAGGAUGAGCUGGCGGGCUAUCAGCUUGUUGGGGCGGUAAUGGCCUACCAAGGCGGCGACGCGUAGCCGGACUGUGGGGGUGAACGGCGACACUGGGACCGAGGGAAGGCCGAGACGCCUAAGGGUGGCAGAAGGGGGGAAUCCUGCACAAGCGGCGCCAGCCUGAUGAAGCGACGCUGCGGGUGGGAUGACGGCCUUCUGGUUGAAAACUACUUUCGCUAGGGACGAAGCUUUUUGUGACGGUACCUAGAUAAGAAGCACCGGCUAACUACGUG